CUCGGUUGCCGUGUGAGCAUUCCAAGCAAGACAACUCUCCUUGAUUCUCAUUUUGAUGCUGAUCCUCGUUUCUUCUCAUCGGUGCAAAAGGUAGACCUACUUCCACAGUCACAUUGUUUCCGCGGUGCUAAUUUGACAGAGUGGAAACUUAAUCGUGCAAGAUGCCUUUCAGCAAAAAAUAGUCGAACAUGCAAACUGAAAGUAACAACGAUGCUGGUACUCUUGUUCAUCUCUAGUUUCAUAUACAAGAUGCAAAAAACUAUAUUUUUGGAAUGUUCUCCAGAUAUAAGUCACAAGAUAGAAAUACAUUGAAAUCACCUUUUGCACUGCCCAGCAAUAAGGAUGUUAGAGAAGAGGAAACGGUGAACUCUCUCGACUUCAAAUUUUCAUGUUCUUCUUUUUUUUCUCCGGUGUAUUGCUUCAAAGAAUAAGGCCUUAAAGGGUGUGUGUUUAAAACUCUACUAGCUAGUCUUGUUGGUCAUUGGGCAUUUAUAAUAUAUUUAUUUGAUAUACAGAGAAUAAUUAGUUUCUGUAUUACAUACUGGACGAAAAUAAUUUCCAUAUAUCAACAUAUCAUGGCUAGUUAAUUAGUAAUUUUACUGCAUGUUGGAUGUUCUUUGACCUCCUGGGAGAUAUGAUAUAUGAGCAAGUGUUUCAAACUUUCAACCUUGUCCGUUAAGUUUAUGUAUGAACUACUACCCCUCGAAAAUAUGAGAAUGAAUGCCAUGUGAUACAAGUUAACCUUGCUAACUGUACUGUGAACUGAACCUGCCUUUUGUCUCUCAGGGUGGUAAAAUUUCACCGGUAUAUAUAUCACAAGUCAGACUGAACUUGAGAGUUCCAUCCAUGUAAUAAAACCUUCGGCAAGAGCUUAACUAAUCACUCAUCAAAUAGGUAGUAGUUGCCGUCAUACAAUGCAGAAUACUGGAAAUAUGAAGAAAACUAAAUACUACUUGUUUUCCGGAGCACCGAACAUAUCUUUGAUUUAAAGUAGUACAUUGAUGUAGGACUUCAGAAGUUGUGGACACUAAUAACCCACUUUUUAAUAGCUCCUGAAUACUGCUGUUCUUUUGAGCUUCUACCAUGAUUAUCCUGCACAGCACCAACCUUUGUUGUGAUAUACUACAUAUGUUAUCACCUUUGCCCCACAUAUAAUAUGCACACUAAAAUGUUAUUACUUGACUUGAUGAUCUUGUACCUGGUACCAUGGCAAGAAAGAUGAACUUCAUGUUUAAGAUCUUAACUUGAGAUGCAGUUCUCCUGCUUAAUUAAUUUCAUUUUGGAAUAUCAUGUGUUCGGUAUAGAAUAGCCAGGGCUAGAGCAAAUGAUGCAUCAUUAGUUUUCUUCGAAUUUCUCAACUACCCAUGCAUUUGUUGCAGAUAAGAUGCAAAGUAAGGAAUUGAAACUGGAGAUUUGGAAAUUGCAUUUUGUUCAAAAUACAUCCAGUGUUUUGGCUCUAUGGUAGUGAAUUUUGACCUGUUUAUUGCUCAUUUAUUUUUUUAGUUUCCAGAUUCCAUUAAUCUCCGGUUUAACUCGGUGUAUCAUGAUUCCUACUGGAGCAUCUAUGCACCACACUGUUAAAUCUGAGACUGGAAGACACUUAAACAGUUGCAUAUAUGUCACUGCUUCCCCUGGACUACUAGGGUUCCUUGCGAACUAAAGGGAGUUCAAUCCGUCUCCGAUCCAUUUUCCUCUCCUAACCUGCAUAUAUAUACUUGGGUUGAUCUAGGGGCAAGCCUAGCCUUGGUUUCCGGCCUUCGUGGUGUCGCUAGGAUUAGGGUUUCGGUUUAGUUCUGGUGAUAGCAGUGGCGUGUGAUUCUGUCGUAGUGAAGGUUGUGGCAGGAGAUGCGGGAUAGACGACGCCCGACAAUGCAUUGGCCAGCAGAAUUACCGGGUUUGAUGUGCUGUUUGAGAAGUUGGACCUUGAAGAGGAGGAAUUCGACGUCUUGGUGAUAGAUGAGGAUGAUCCUGAGUUCCAACAGUGCACCCGGUGGCUGGCGCUGAUGAGGGUGAAGAUAGUGAAAAGAUUCAGGCACCCUAGCCUGUUCUCUCAGAUGUGAUCUCCAUGGAACCUUGCACAACACGUCCGAUUCAGGGUCGUUUAAGCAAAUGUGUUUGUUAUUCAGUUUUUCUUUUUUACCUUGGACACGGGGAACAUGUGAUAGAGCAAAGCCCAUGGCUAUUUCGCAGGUAUGCUGUAAUCCUGGAGCCGAGUGAUGGGUUCUUGAAGGUGCCAAUCUGGAUUCAGGUAAGGUGCUGGAAGCAUAUCGCAAGGGCAAGCUUGUGAAAAUAUUGAUCAAGAAAGCUGGCAAAGUUCUCUAUGCCAAUCUCAGAUUGCACAGAAGGUCAGAUUACUGCUUAUCGGCUACUUUUCUUUGUUCCAUACCGGGGAAUCAAGCAGUUAUUCAAUGGGUUAGGAGCCCCACAAUGCUUCACAUGGUGCGCGACCUGCCUUUUGCUUUCUUCAGCGACCCUGAGUUGAUGCUCAUCUUGGCUGCUGCUCCCAUUGCCGUUUGUUAUGGCAGUGAUCGGAACAGUAGUGUGGUAUUUGAAGAAAUAAGUUCAGAUAUGCUCCGUUCUUUGCUUAGAUCCUGCAGAGGUCAGCACUGGCUACUUUUGGAUUCCAUUGCCGCGGAUGGCUCUGGAGCCAAUAAUUCCAGUGACAGCACACAGGUCUCACCGGAUACCAGAAGCUCACUGUCCGACAUCUCAAUGCUGUAAAGCCGACAGUAUCAGGAAAAGGCGGUUCAGGGGCCAUCAGAUUUUGAACAGAAAUGGGAACCAAAAGGAUGGUAGAGGAAUUUUUGUUGACAAGGCAGAAGAAUUUUUGUGCAGCGGUGCAUAACAGAAACACUGAAUAGCACAAGCUGACCAGACCUUCACAAGAAGCUACCGAAUUAGGGUUUUCGAGGCGGUGGCGCGUCUGACUAAUGUACCAUGAGGCGACAUAUUAUGGUGGCGAUUACGGGAUAUGAAUAUGAUUGUAUAGUUCCGGUUUACCCGACCUGUUAUCUUCGGUGAUGUCAGGUUUGAGUCGUCAUAUAGAGAAUAAGUUUGCGACGAAGUGUUAUAUAUGCCUCAAAUUUGCCUGUUCAUACCCCAAAAGAAGUGUGUAAAAGAAGAAAGUAACGAUCAACUGUAUCAAACACUAGCACCAACACAGCCACACAUGCAUGUACUGAGCUUC
Aegilops tauschii subsp. strangulata is the source of this 3187-nucleotide long non-coding RNA. RefSeq lists it as uncharacterized. The record is from RefSeq and is a predicted model, not a curated record. NCBI's taxonomy places the organism in Eukaryota, Viridiplantae, Streptophyta, Magnoliopsida, Poales, Poaceae.